RNAcentral lists this ribosomal RNA (498 nucleotides) under uncultured bacterium. Its description in RNAcentral is "partial 16S ribosomal RNA". It matches the Rfam family "Bacterial small subunit ribosomal RNA", at positions 28 to 507 of the family's 1533-position model. The record is from RNAcentral.
GACGAACGCUGGCGGCGUGCCUAAUACAUGCAAGUCGAGCGGACGGAUGGGAGCUUGCUCCCAGACCGUCAGCGGCGGACGGGUGAGUAACACGUGGGCAACCUGCCUGUAAGACUGGGAUAACUCCGGGAAACCGGGGCUAAUACCGGAUAACUCUUUCCCUCACAUGAGGGAAAGCUGAAAGAUGGCAUCUCGCUAUCACUUACAGAUGGGCCCGCGGCGCAUUAGCUAGUUGGUGAGGUAACGGCUCACCAAGGCGACGAUGCGUAGCCGACCUGAGAGGGUGAUCGGCCACACUGGGACUGAGACACGGCCCAGACUCCUACGGGAGGCAGCAGUAGGGAAUCUUCCGCAAUGGACGAAAGUCUGACGAAGCAACGCCGCGUGAGUGAUGAAGGUUUUCGGAUCGUAAAACUCUGUUGUCAGGGAAGAACAAGUACCGGAGUAACUGCCGGUACCUUGACGGUACCUGACCAGAAAGCCACGGCUAACUACGUG